RNAcentral lists this ribosomal RNA (438 nucleotides) under uncultured bacterium. RNAcentral describes it as "partial 16S ribosomal RNA". It matches the Rfam family "Bacterial small subunit ribosomal RNA", at positions 339 to 795 of the family's 1533-position model. The record is from RNAcentral.
CUACGGGCCGCACCAGUGGGGAAUUUUGCGCAAUGGGGGAAACCCUGACGCAGCAAUACCGCGUGAGUGAAGAAGGCCUUUGGGUCGUAAAGCUCUUUUCUUGGGGAAGAUAGUGACGGUACCCAAGGAAUAAGCACCGGCUAACUCCGUGCCAGCAGCCGCGGUAAUACGGAGGUUGCAAGCGUUGUUCGGAUUUACUGGGCGUAAAGGCACGUAGGCGGCACAGCAAGUUAAGGGUGAAAUCCCGGGGCUCAACUCCGGAACUGCUCUUAAAACUGCUGAGCUAGAGAUAGUCAGAGGCGGGUGGAAUUCCAGGUGUAGAGGUGAAAUUCGUAGAUAUCUGGAGGAACACCGGUGGCGAAGGCGGCCCGCUGGGGCUAUUCUGACGCUAAGGUGCGAAAGCGUGGGGAGCAAACGGGAUUAGAUACCCGUGUAGUC